UUUAACUGAGCGUUCAGUUACUUGACGUAGACCCGAAACCGGGCGACCUACCCAUGAGCAGGAUGAAGCGAAAGUAAAAUUUCGUGGAGGUCCGAACCCACGAGCGUUGAAAAGCUCGGGGAUGACUUGUGGGUAGCGGUGAAAUUCCAAUCGAGCCCGGAGAUAGCUGGUUCUCCCCGAAAUAGCUUUAGGGCUAGCCUCAAGGUGAGAGAUACGGAGGUAGAGCACUGAAUGUCCUAGGGGGUAUUGCACCUACCGAAGACUAUCAAACUCCGAAUGCCGUCAUCUUAUACUUGGGAGUCAGACUGUGGGUGAUAAGAUUCAUAGUCGAAAGGGCAACAGCCCAGAUCGUCAGCUAAGGUCCCUAAAUGUAAGUUAAGUGGUAAAGGAUGUGGGAUUGCACAGACAACCAGGAUGUUGGCUUAGAAGCAGCCACUCAUUCAAAGAGUGCGUAAUAGCUCACUGGUCGAGUGAUCCUGCGCCGAAGAUUUCCGGGGCUAAAACUUACUACCGAAGCUACGGCAUCAGUAAUGAUGGGUAGGGGAGCUUCCCAUACGGGUUGAAGCAUGACCGUAAGGACAUGUGGACAGUAUGGGAGUGA
This 601-nucleotide ribosomal RNA is filed under the name Clostridioides difficile. Its description in RNAcentral is "partial 23S ribosomal RNA". It matches the Rfam family "Bacterial large subunit ribosomal RNA", at positions 683 to 1291 of the family's 2925-position model. Lineage: Bacteria; Bacillati; Bacillota; Clostridia; Peptostreptococcales; Peptostreptococcaceae. The record is from RNAcentral.